AACGAACGCUGGCGGCAUGCUUAACACAUGCAAGUCGAACGAGGCCUUCAGGCGUAGCCGCCCACCGGUUGCUAACCCCUUGGAACCUCUCCUUAGGUUCGGGAUAACUCCGCGCAAGGGGUCCUAUAAUCGGACAUAGUCCUCGGACCAAAGAUUUAUCGCCUUUGGUUGGGCGCGCGUUGGGUUAGCUAGCUGGUAGGGUAAAAGCGUACCUAGGCGACCGUCCAUCGCUGGUCAGAGAGGAUGAUCAGCCACACUGGGACUGAGACAAGGCCCAGACUCCUACGAGAGGCAGCAGUGGGGAAUAGUGGGCAGUAGGCGAGAGCCUGAUACAGCGAUGCCGCGUGAGUGGUGAAGGCCUGAGGGUUGUAAAGCACUUUUACCCGCGAUGAUGAUGACGGUACCGGGAGAAGAAGCUCCGGCUAACUCCGUG
Molecule: ribosomal RNA, 433 nt
Filed under: uncultured bacterium
Lineage: Bacteria
Description: partial 16S ribosomal RNA
Rfam family: Bacterial small subunit ribosomal RNA
Source: RNAcentral